RNAcentral lists this transfer RNA (72 nucleotides) under Camelus bactrianus (Bactrian camel). It matches the Rfam family "tRNA". From Rfam's summary of the family: Transfer RNA (tRNA) molecules are approximately 80 nucleotides in length. The record is from Rfam by way of RNAcentral. Lineage: Eukaryota; Metazoa; Chordata; Mammalia; Artiodactyla; Camelidae. RNAcentral also lists the same sequence under 2 other names.
GGGGAUAUAGCUCAGUGGUGGAGCCCAUGCUUGGCACGUACGAGGUCCUGGGUUCAAUCCCCAGUGCCUCUG